RNAcentral lists this transfer RNA (76 nucleotides) under Actinoplanes sp. NBRC 101535. Its description in RNAcentral is "tRNA-Glu". It matches the Rfam family "tRNA". Rfam says of the family: Transfer RNA (tRNA) molecules are approximately 80 nucleotides in length. The record is from RNAcentral. Lineage: Bacteria; Bacillati; Actinomycetota; Actinomycetes; Micromonosporales; Micromonosporaceae.
GGCGCGGUGGACGAAAGGUAGAGUCGCCCGGCUUUCACCCGGGACAUGUGCGGGUUCGAAUCCCGUCCGCGCUGCC